This 1446-nucleotide ribosomal RNA is filed under the name metagenome. RNAcentral describes it as "bacterial LSU rRNA". It matches the Rfam family "Bacterial large subunit ribosomal RNA", at positions 1498 to 2925 of the family's 2925-position model. The record is from RNAcentral.
UUGGUUAUCCUGGAAGUAAGUAAGUAGGGAGUGUGAUAGGAAAAUCCGUUGCACAUUAAUCCUGAGAUACGACACGUAGCCGAUUUAGGCGAUUUGAUUGAUCCUAUGCUGCCUAGAAAAGCCUAGCAAUGAGUUAAUAUGGUGCCCGUACCCCAAACCGACACAGGUAGAUAAGUAGAGAAUACUAAGGAGAGCGAGAUAACUCCGGUUAAGGAACUCGGCAAAAUGCCCCCGUAACUUCGGGAUAAGGGGGGCCUCAGUAAAGUGAUUGUCUUCGCGACAUGAGCUUGAGGAGGCCGCAGUGACUAGAGCCAAGCGACUGUUUACCAAAAACACAGGUGCAUGCGAAGCCGUAAGGCGAUGUAUAUGCACUGACGCCUGCCCAAUGCUGGAAGGUCACGGAGAGAGGUUAGCGCUUGUCGCGAAGCUUCGAACUUAAGCCCCAGUGAAUGGCGGCCGUAACUAUAACGGUCCUAAGGUAGCGAAAUUCCUUGUCGGGUAAGUUCCGACCUGCACGAAUGGCGUAACGACUUGGCUACUGUCUCAACCGGAGACUCGGCGAAAUUGCAAUACGAGUAAAGAUGCUCGUUUCCCGCACCAGGACGGUAAGACCCCGUGCACCUUUACUGCAACUUGAUGUUGGGUUUGGGUAUGAACUGUGUAGGAUAGCUGGGAGACUGCGAAGCAGAGGCGUCAGCUUUUGUGGAGUCAACCUUGAAAUACCAGCCUGUUCAUAUCGGAACCUCUCACCACAGGCCCUAGAUCGGGUCUUGGGACAGCGUCAGGUGGGUAGUUUGACUGGGGCGGUCGCCUCCUAAAGAGUAUCGGAGGCGUCCAAAGUUAUACUCAGCCUGGUUGGCAAUCAGGCGUCGAGCGCAAAAGUAUAAGUAUGAUUGACUGCAAGACCUACAAGUCAAGCAGGGACGAAAGUCGGGUUUAGUGACCCAGCGGCAGCUUGUGGAAGCGCCGUUGAUUAACGGAUAAAGGUACGCCGGGGAUAACAGGCUCAUUUUGCCCAAUAGUUCACAUAGACGGCAAAGUUUGGCACCUCGAUGUCGGCUCGUCGCAUCCUGGGGGUGUAGCCACUCCCAAGGGUUGGGCUGUUCGCCCAUUAAAGCGGUACGCGAGCUGGGUUCAGAACGUCGCGAGACAGUUCGGCCCCUAUCCGGUGUGGGCGUAAGAGAUUUGAGGAAAUCUGUUCCUAGUACGAGAGGACCGGAAUGGACGUGGCUCUCGUGUGACAGUUGUCCUGCCAAGGGCAUGGCUGGUUAGCGACCCACGGAAAAGAUAAACGCUGAAAGCAUCUAAGCGUGAAACUUGUUCCAAGAUGAGAUCUCUCAUGUGGUUAACACAGUAAGGCCCCUUAUAGACCAUGAGAUUGAUAGGCCAGAAGUGUACGGACAGUAAUGUCUUUAGCUGACUGGUACUAAUCGGUCGAGGGCUUGU